GCCUGGGUGGCUCAGUCAGUUAAGCAUCUGACUUUGGCUCAGGUCAUGAUCUCGAUUUGUGGGUUUGAGCCCCGCAUCUGGCU
RNAcentral lists this transfer RNA (83 nucleotides) under Felis catus (domestic cat). It matches the Rfam family "tRNA". From Rfam's summary of the family: Transfer RNA (tRNA) molecules are approximately 80 nucleotides in length. Lineage: Eukaryota; Metazoa; Chordata; Mammalia; Carnivora; Felidae. The record is from Rfam by way of RNAcentral.